GUAAGGAAUUUUCCACAAUGAGCGAAAGCUUGAUGGAGCGACACAGCGUGCAGGAUGAAGUUCUUCGGAAUGUAAACUGCUGUUAUAAGGGAAGAAAAAAUAGAAUAGGAAAUGAUUUUAUCUUGACGGUACCUUAUUAGAAAGCGACGGCAAACUAUGUGCCAGCAGCCGCGGUAAUACAUAGGUCGCAAGCGUUAUCCGGAAUUAUUGGGCGUAAAGCGUCCGUAGGUUUUUUGCUAAGUCUGGAGUUAAAUGCUGAAGCUCAACUUCAGUCCGCUUUGGAUACUGGCAAAAUAGAAUUAUAAAGAGGUUAGCGGAAUUCCUAGUGAAGCGGUGGAAUGCGUAGAUAUUAGGAAGAACACCAAUAGGCGAAGGCAGCUAACUGGUUAUAUAUUGACACUAAGGGACGAAAGCGUGGGGAGCAAACAGGAUUAGAUACCCUGGUAGUCCACGCCGUAAACGAUGAUCAUUAGUUGGUGGAAUAAUUUCACUAACGCAGCUAACGCGUUAAAUGAUCCGCCUGAAUAGUAUGCUCGCAAGAGUGAAACUUAAAGGAAUUGACGGGAACCCGCACAAGCGGUGGAGCAUGUGGUUUAAUUUGAAGAUACGCGUAGAACCUUACCCACUCUUGACAUCUUCUGCAAAGCUAUAGAGAUAUAGUGGAGGUUAACAGAAUGACAGAUGGUGCAUGGUUGUCGUCAGCUCGUGUCGUGAGAUGUUAGGUUAAGUCCUGCAACGAGCGCAACCCUUUUCUUUAGUUACUAAUAUUAAGUUAAGGACUCUAGAGAUACUGCCUGGGUAACCAGGAGGAAGGUGGGGACGACGUCAAAUCAUCAUGCCUCUUACGAGUGGGGCAACACACGUGCUACAAUGGUCGGUACAAAGAGAAGCAAUAUGGUGACAUGGAGCAAAUCUCAAAAAACCGAUCUCAGUUCGGAUUGAAGUCUGCAACUCGACUUCAUGAAGUCGGAAUCGCUAGUAAUCGUAGAUCAGCUACGCUACGGUGAAUACGUUCUCGGGUUUU
Molecule: ribosomal RNA, 1024 nt
Filed under: Mesomycoplasma hyorhinis
Lineage: Bacteria; Bacillati; Mycoplasmatota; Mycoplasmoidales; Metamycoplasmataceae
Description: bacterial SSU rRNA
Rfam family: Bacterial small subunit ribosomal RNA
Source: RNAcentral